This 121-nucleotide small RNA is filed under the name Marmota monax (woodchuck). The record is from RNAcentral. Lineage: Eukaryota; Metazoa; Chordata; Mammalia; Rodentia; Sciuridae.
GCUGGGCAUGGUCGCACAUGCCUGUAAUCCUAGCAGCUGGGAGGCUGAAGCAGGAGGAUUGUGAGUUUAAAGCCAGACUAAGCAAUUUAGGCCUAAGCAAUUUAGUGAGACCCUGUUUCUA